This 458-nucleotide ribosomal RNA is filed under the name uncultured bacterium. RNAcentral describes it as "partial 16S ribosomal RNA". It matches the Rfam family "Bacterial small subunit ribosomal RNA", at positions 338 to 795 of the family's 1533-position model. The record is from RNAcentral.
CCUACGGGAGACAGCAGUGAGGAAUAUUGGUCAAUGGGCGAGAGCCUGAACCAGCCAAGUCGCGUGAGGGAGUACUGCCCUAUGGGUUGUAAACCUCUUUUGUCGGGGAGCAAAAGCCGGACGUGUCCGGCUGUGAGAGUACCCGAAGAAAAAGCAUCGGCUAACUCCGUGCCAGCAGCCGCGGUAAUACGGAGGAUGCGGGCGUUAUCCGGGUUUAUUGGGUUUAAAGGGUGCGCAGGCGGAUUUUAAAGUCAGCGGUAAAAGCGUGGGGGUAAACCCCAGCCAGCCGUUGAAACUGGGGAACUAGAGAGUGCGAGAGGUAUGCGGAAUGCGUGGUGUAGCGGUGAAAUGCAUAGAGAUCACACAGAACCCCGAUUGCGAAGGCAGCAUACCGGUGCACAACUGACGCUCAGGCACGAAAGCGUGGGUAUCGAACAGGAUUAGAUACCCCUGUAGUC